Condylura cristata (star-nosed mole) is the source of this 150-nucleotide long non-coding RNA. RefSeq lists it as uncharacterized. The record is from RefSeq and is a predicted model, not a curated record. The transcript has 3 exons. Lineage: Eukaryota; Metazoa; Chordata; Mammalia; Eulipotyphla; Talpidae.
AAAUAAUUUAGCUGCAAAAUUGAAUUUCUUCAGUCUACCAGAGUGAGAGGGGCCCAGCGACAGCAGUGGAAGUUCUGCCACCUGUUACUUCUUGCGUCAGCACGUAACCACUGAAGUCACGGCAGCAACAUGGAUGGAGCUGGAAAAGAU